Molecule: ribosomal RNA, 478 nt
Filed under: uncultured bacterium
Lineage: Bacteria
Description: partial 16S ribosomal RNA
Rfam family: Bacterial small subunit ribosomal RNA
Source: RNAcentral
GACGAACGCUGGCGGCGUGCUUAACACAUGCGAGUCGAACGGUAAGGCCCUUCGGGGUACACGAGUGGCGAACGGGUGAGUAACACGUGGGUGAUCUGCCCUGCACUUCGGGAUAAGCCUGGGACACUGGGUCUAAUACCGGAUAGGACUCCGGACUGCAUGGUCUGGGGUGGAAAGCUUUUGCGGUGUGGGAUGGGCCCGCGGCCUAUCAGCUUGUUGGUGGGGUGAUGGCCUACCAAGGCGACGACGGGUAGCCGGCCUGAGAGGGUGACCGGCCACACUGGGACUGAGAUACGGCCCAGACUCCUACGGGAGGCAGCAGUGGGGAAGAUUGCACAAUGGGCGCAAGCCUGAUGCAGCGACGCCGCGUGAGGGAUGACGGCCUUCGGGUUGUAAACCUCUUUCAGCUAUGACGAAGCGCAAGUGACGGUAGUAGCAGAAGAAGGACCGGCCAACUACGUGCCAGCAGCCGCGGUAA